This 253-nucleotide ribosomal RNA is filed under the name uncultured bacterium. Its description in RNAcentral is "partial 16S ribosomal RNA". It matches the Rfam family "Bacterial small subunit ribosomal RNA", at positions 524 to 776 of the family's 1533-position model. The record is from RNAcentral.
UACAGAGGGUGCGAGCGUUAAUCGGAAUUACUGGGCGUAAAGCGUGCGUAGACGGUAGCGUAAGUCAGAUGUGAAAGCCCCGGGCUCAACCUGGGAACUGCAUUUGAGACUGCUCUGCUCGGGUGCGGAAGAGGGAAGCGGAAUUUCCGGUGUAGCGGUGAAAUGCGUAGAUAUCGGAAGGAACACCAGUGGCGAAAGCGGCUUCCUGGUCCGACACCGACGGUCAGGCACGAAAGCGUGGGGAGCAAACAGG